CAUUAGCAGCAUGGAGUUAUGACACAUUUAACAGUUCUGAUUUCAUCCACUUGAGAACUCUUGUCACUAUCUUCCCAGGGAUGCCAAGUCACUUCAUCAGAUAUGACAAACUUGCUUGAUGCACUGAAUCAGAGGCCUGAUGGAAGUCUAUAUAAAGUGCUGCUCUUGGCUUAUGAAAUGCAGCCAUCUUCUCAAAAAGCUGUCUCAAGUAAUUACAAAAGGGGUUAAGUGAUGACUGCUCCUUAUACCCUGUUCAGAUGCUGCUGCUGAGACCAGGACUCGAUAGAUGACAAUGACCCACCGGACCACGAUCACCCACUGGAACAGCUACUGCAGCAGAGAAUGGCGAUGAACGAUGAUG
Molecule: long non-coding RNA, 361 nt
Organism: Gopherus evgoodei (Goodes thornscrub tortoise)
Lineage: Eukaryota; Metazoa; Chordata; Testudines; Testudinidae
Exons: 3
Source: RefSeq, a predicted model, not a curated record